GACGAACGCUGGCGGCGUGCCUAACACAUGCAAGUCGAACGGGACCCGCAAGGGUUCAGUGGCGAACGGGUGCGUAACACGUGAAGAAUUUAUCCCAACGGCGGGGGAUAGCCGGCCCAACGGCCGGGUAAUACCGACGUACGACCCUCGGGGGGCAUCCCCUGAAGGUGAAAGCCGCAAGGCGCCGAUGGAGAACUUCGCGGCCUAUCAGCUAGUUGGUGAGGUCAUGGCUCACCAAGGCGACGACGGAGCUGGUCCGAGAGGAUGACCAGCCACAUUGGGACUGAGACACGGCCCAGACUCCUACGGGAGGCAGCAGUGGGAUAUUGCGCAAUGGGCGAAAGCCUGACGCAGCGACGCCGCGUGU
Molecule: ribosomal RNA, 367 nt
Filed under: uncultured bacterium
Lineage: Bacteria
Description: bacterial SSU rRNA
Rfam family: Bacterial small subunit ribosomal RNA
Source: RNAcentral